UAUAAAUAGGGGGUCCAUUAGUUUAGC
Molecule: non-coding RNA, 27 nt
Filed under: Callithrix jacchus (white-tufted-ear marmoset)
Lineage: Eukaryota; Metazoa; Chordata; Mammalia; Primates; Cebidae
Also listed under: 1 other name
Source: RNAcentral